GAUGAACGCUGGCGGCGUGCCUAAUACAUGCAAGUCGAGCGAACAGACGAGGAGCUUGCUCCUUUGACGUUAGCGGCGGACGGGUGAGUAACACGUGGAUAACCUACCUAUAAGACUGGGAUAACUUCGGGAAACCGGAGCUAAUACCGGAUAACAUGUUGAACCGCAUGGUUCAACAGUGAAAGACGGUCUUGCUGUCACUUAUAGAUGGAUCCGCGCCGCAUUAGCUAGUUGGUAAGGUAACGGCUUACCAAGGCAACGAUGCGUAGCCGACCUGAGAGGGUGAUCGGCCACACUGGAACUGAGCCACGGUCCAGACUCCUACGGGAGGCAGCAGUAGGGAAUCUGCCGCAAUGGGCGAAAGCCUGACGGAGCAACGCCGCGUGAGUGAAGAAGGUCUUCGGAUCGUAAAACUCUGUUAUUAGGGAAGAACAAAUGUGUAAGUAACUAUGCACGUCUUGACGGUACCUAAUCAGAAAGCCACGGCUAACUACGU
This 496-nucleotide ribosomal RNA is filed under the name uncultured bacterium. RNAcentral describes it as "partial 16S ribosomal RNA". It matches the Rfam family "Bacterial small subunit ribosomal RNA", at positions 28 to 506 of the family's 1533-position model. The record is from RNAcentral.